GUGUGUAGGCGGUUGUUUAAGUUUGGUGUGAAAUCUCCCGGCUCAACUGGGAGGGUGCGCCGAAUACUGAGCGACUAGAGUGCGGGAGAGGAAAGUGGAAUUCCUGGUGUAGCGGUGAAAUGCGUAGAUAUCAGGGGGAACGACCGGUGGUGUAGACGGCUUUCUGGACCGUAACUGACGCUGAGACACGAAAGCGUGGGUAGGCAAAACA
Molecule: ribosomal RNA, 211 nt
Filed under: uncultured bacterium
Lineage: Bacteria
Description: partial 16S ribosomal RNA
Rfam family: Bacterial small subunit ribosomal RNA
Source: RNAcentral